Molecule: unclassified non-coding RNA, 355 nt
Filed under: soil metagenome
Description: partial contains 5.8S ribosomal RNA, internal transcribed spacer 2, and large subunit ribosomal RNA
Rfam family: 5.8S ribosomal RNA (bases 1-120)
Source: RNAcentral
GAUGAAGAACGUAGCGAAAUGCGAUAAGUAAUGUGAAUUGCAGAAUUCAGUGAAUCAUCGAAUCUUUGAACGCACAUUGCGCCCGCCAGUAUUCUGGCGGGCAUGCCUGUCCGAGCGUCAUUUCAACCCUCGAACCCCUCCGGGGGGUCGGCGUUGGGGAUCGGGAACCCCUAAGACGGGAUCCCGGCCCCGAAAUACAGUGGCGGUCUCGCCGCAGCCUCUCCUGCGCAGUAGUUUGCACAACUCGCACCGGGAGCGCGGCGCGUCCACGUCCGUAAAACACCCAACUUCUGAAAUGUUGACCUCGGAUCAGGUAGGAAUACCCGCUGAACUUAAGCAUAUCAAUAAGCGGAGA